This 1367-nucleotide long non-coding RNA is filed under the name Sus scrofa (pig). Its description in RNAcentral is "lncRNA (ENSSSCG00050062312.1)". Lineage: Eukaryota; Metazoa; Chordata; Mammalia; Artiodactyla; Suidae. The record is from RNAcentral.
UGUGACAAACUAUUAAGCAACACCAUCCUUAGACCCAGGCGAGGGCAGUCUCUGCCCUUGCUUAGCAGGGCCCUAAUCUGUCCUUCUUGAAGUCGCAGUCCUGGCCCACAGAUGACUGAAAUGACCAAAGAACUAGAAAAAAAUCCUUGCAUACCCACCUGCCAUAGUGUCCUAGAGCUGCCAUAACAAAGCACCGCACAUUGGGUGGUUACAGCAACAGAAAUUUAUUCUCUCCCAGUUCCAGAAGUUGGAAGUCAAGGUAUCAGUCGGGCCAGGCUCCCCCAGAGGCUGCAGGGGAGAAUCCUCCUUCACCACUUCCAGCUCCUGAAGGCUGCGGGCAAGGCUUGCAUUGCUCAACUCCUAUGCAGCUUCCCCCUUCCAGUCUCUGCCUUCAUCUUCACAUGGGCUUCUUCCUUCUGAGUGUAUCUCGGUGUAGUCUCUCCUCGUCUUAGAAGGACAGCAGUCACUGGACUUAGGGCGCACCAUACCCCUGUAUGAUAUCCUCUCAACAGUUACAUCUGCAAACACCCCAUUUCCAGUUAAGGUCACAUCCUGAGGUUCCUGGUGGAUGUGGAGUUUGGGGAGACAUUAUUCAACCCUGUACAAAGACUCUUGUUUUUUGUUUCUGUCUCUGUUUCUUUGUCUCUGUCAUUCUCUCUUCUUUGCAGGAUGAGUUAGCUUUGUAAAAAUUAAUUGGGACACUUUUAAAUUUUUUAUACCCUGAAAACAAUUCGAUCAUAUAGAAAUUCUCUCUUCCUUUAAGGUUUGACAGAAUUUGCCCAACGCCUCCCCCAAAUUGCCUAAGUUCACGUUUCAUCAAAGUCUUGCAGAGUUCUUUAUCAGCUGCUUCUGUGACUUUUCAUCUUGUUGAAUUUUUCUGCCUAUUCUUGAGUGGAUUAUAUUGUCUUAUUUUGGUUAAUAUUUUAUUAGCAUAAAUUUAAACACAGUGUGCUUUUAGCUUGAAUCCUCUUUCAUGUCUUUGUCUCUCAUCCCUUUUAUAUUUCUAGAGCUGUUUAUUUGCAUUUUUUUCUUUUUUUUCCUCAUGCAAACUUGCCAGAGGUUUGUCUCAUUUAUUGGUCUUUUUUUUUUUUUUUUUUUUUUUUUUUUGCGCAUGGUUCCUAGUCGGAUUCGUUUCCACUGUGCCACGAUGGGAACUCCUUAUUGAUCUUUUAAAAGAGUUAGCUCUUUGAUUUGUCUUAUCAAUUCUAUUGUUUUCUGUUUUCUAAUUUGCUUUUGUCUGCUUUUCUCUUUCCUUCUUUCCUUCUGCCACCCUUAGAUUUAUUUUAUUAGUUUUUAAUCUCAGUUGUUUAGCUAAUUGCUUUUUUAUUCAUUUUUAUCUUAUAACAAAACCACUUAGCUUUAUCUUU